This is a non-coding RNA of Pelobates cultripes (western spadefoot toad), 956 nucleotides long. NCBI's taxonomy places the organism in Eukaryota, Metazoa, Chordata, Amphibia, Anura, Pelobatidae. The record is from the annotation of a GenBank genome assembly.
UCUGGCACCAACAGGUUAGCUAUACAAUUACCUCCCAUUAGGGAACCUAAUGUUGGAAGAGCACCCUGUCUCCCCCCGAGUAGCCACAGACUACACCACAUGUCAGAUGGUACUUAAAAUAUGCUCCCUAAAUACUAAAGGGCUGAAUUCCCCUCACAAGCGCCGCCUAGCACUGCGCGAAGCAAAAUCAUUAGGUGCCCACGUAAUGCUCUUCCAAGAAACGCACUUCCAAUGGGGUAACAGACCGAAGUUUAACUCCCCACAGUAUCCCAUAGAUUUUCACUCAUGUUACUCCAAAAAAAAAAGAGGAGUAUCCAUCCUUAUUGGCAGAGAUGUGGCCUUCUCCCUAAUACGCAAAAUAGGAGAUAAAAAGGGAAGGUACCUUAUAUUGCAAUGCUCCCUAAAUAAUAAUGUCUAUACCUUAAUUAAUGUCUAUGGACCCAAUGUUAACCAAUGUAACUUUGUUGAUGUACUGCUUGGUUUGAUGUCUGCUCACGCACUUGGGGAAGUGAUCAUUGGGGGUGACACGAAUUUCUUACUAGACAGUGACCUAGACUCAUCAGGAGGUCCCCAAUUGACUGCACAAACACUAAAGAGCAGGUCCAAACUAGCCACACUAAUAUGCAACAAACUAACACCGCACAAUCUUGUAGACCCAUGGAGAGUCACCCAUCCCACAGAGAGGGACUACACAUGCCACACAGCAGCGCAUAAGACUUAUUCGAGAAUAGAUAGGUUUUUGAUCCGCACCUCCUCCAUCAUAAAGGUUGAGCGCACAGACAUAGGCCUUAUUACAUGGUCGGACCAUGCCCCUAUUACACUACAGCUUAGGGAACAAUUCCCCAACUCAGGAAGAGGCAGUUGGAGACUCAAUGAACAAUUACUCGCUGACCCUGCCAUAGUUAACCAAAUAGAACAAGAUCUACAGUUUUAUUUUAAAGAAAACAAAACCCCAG